Molecule: ribosomal RNA, 212 nt
Filed under: uncultured bacterium
Lineage: Bacteria
Description: partial 16S ribosomal RNA
Rfam family: Bacterial small subunit ribosomal RNA
Source: RNAcentral
GACGGGGGGGGCAAGUGUUCUUCGGAAUGACUGGGCGUAAAGCGUCCGUAGGCGGCUGAUUGCGUCGGGUGUGAAAGCUCCCUGCUCAACGGGGAGAGGUCAUCCGAUACGGGUCGGCUGGAGGGCAGUAGAGGGGGACGGAAGUUCCCGGAGUAGUGGUGGAUAUGCGUAGAGACCGGGAGGAACACCGGUGGCGAAGGGCGGUCCCCUGG